Molecule: RNase P RNA, 321 nt
Filed under: Flavobacterium cucumis
Lineage: Bacteria; Pseudomonadati; Bacteroidota; Flavobacteriia; Flavobacteriales; Flavobacteriaceae
Description: Bacterial RNase P class A
Rfam family: Bacterial RNase P class A
About the family: Ribonuclease P (RNase P) is a ubiquitous endoribonuclease, found in archaea, bacteria and eukarya as well as chloroplasts and mitochondria. Its best characterised activity is the generation of mature 5'-ends of tRNAs by cleaving the 5'-leader elements of precursor-tRNAs. Cellular RNase Ps are ribonucleoproteins.
Source: RNAcentral
ACCGCAGACCGCCUUAUCGUUCCCGAUUUUCGGGAGAGGAAAGUCCGGACACCAAAGAGUAGCAUAGUGGGUAACGCCCAUCCAUCGAAAGGUGAGGACAAGUGCAACAGAAAGUAUGUACAGGUAAUGCUGUAGUGAAACCAGGUAAACUCUAUGCGGUGAAAUGCCAAGUAUAUCAGCAGUUUCUGAGCAAUCAGAAUAAGGGCGACUCGUCCGAUGUUGAAGGGUAGGCAGCUUGAUCCCGAUAGUAAUAUCGGGGCUAGAUAAAUGAUAAGGCUCCAUUCUUGGAGACAGAAUCCGGCUUAUAGGUCUGCUUUUUUA